GUCGAGCGGCAGCACGGGUACUUGUACCUGGUGGCGAGCGGCGGACGGGUGAGUAAUGCCUAGGAAUCUGCCUGGUAGUGGGGGAUAACGCUCGGAAACGGACGCUAAUACCGCAUACGUCCUACGGGAGAAAGCAGGGGACCUUCGGGCCUUGCGCUAUCAGAUGAGCCUAGGUCGGAUUAGCUAGUUGGUGAGGUAAUGGCUCACCAAGGCGACGAUCCGUAACUGGUCUGAGAGGAUGAUCAGUCACACUGGAACUGAGACACGGUCCAGACUCCUACGGGAGGCAGCAGUGGGGAAUAUUGGACAAUGGGCGAAAGCCUGAUCCAGCCAUGCCGCGUGUGUGAAGAAGGUCUUCGGAUUGUAAAGCACUUUAAGUUGGGAGGAAGGGCAUUAACCUAAUACGUUAGUGUUUUGACGUUACCGACAGAAUAAGCACCGGCUAACUCUGUGCCAGCAGCCGCGGUAAUACAGAGGGUGCAAGCGUUAAUCGGAAUUACUGGGCGUAAAGCGCGCGUAGGUGGUUCGUUAAGUUGGAUGUGAAAUCCCCGGGCUCAACCUGGGAACUGCAUUCAGAACUGUCGAGCUAGAGUAUGGUAGAGGGUGGUGGAAUUUCCUGUGUAGCGGUGAAAUGCGUAGAUAUAGGAAGGAACACCAGUGGCGAAGGCGACCACCUGGACUGAUACUGACACUGAGGUGCGAA
RNAcentral lists this ribosomal RNA (703 nucleotides) under Pseudomonas frederiksbergensis. RNAcentral describes it as "bacterial SSU rRNA". It matches the Rfam family "Bacterial small subunit ribosomal RNA", at positions 61 to 757 of the family's 1533-position model. Lineage: Bacteria; Pseudomonadati; Pseudomonadota; Gammaproteobacteria; Pseudomonadales; Pseudomonadaceae. The record is from RNAcentral.